Molecule: ribosomal RNA, 449 nt
Filed under: uncultured bacterium
Lineage: Bacteria
Description: bacterial SSU rRNA
Rfam family: Bacterial small subunit ribosomal RNA
Source: RNAcentral
CGCCCAGACUCCUACGGGAGGCAGCAGUGGGGGAUAUUGCACAAUGGGGGGAACCCUGAUGCAGCGACGCCGCGUGGGUGAAGAAGCGCCUCGGCGCGUAAAGCCCUGUCAGCAGGGAAGAAAAUGACGGUACCUGAAGAAGAAGCCCCGGCUAACUACGUGCCAGCAGCCGCGGUAAUACGUAGGGGGCAAGCGUUAUCCGGAUUUACUGGGUGUAAAGGGAGCGUAGACGGCAAUGCAAGCCAGAUGUGAAAACCCGCAGCUCAACUGGGGGAGUGCAUUUGGAACUGUGUAGCUGGAGUGCAGGAGAGGUAAGCGGAAUUCCUGGUGUAGCGGUGAAAUGCGUAGAUAUCAGGAGGAACACCAGUGGCGAAGGCGGCUUACUGGACUGUAACUGACGUUGAGGCUCGAAAGCGUGGGGAGCAAACAGGAUUAGAUACCCCAGUAGC